GCCCCUCGCUUACACCGAAGAGAUGCCUGUGAAAAUCAGAUUAUUUUGA
Molecule: transfer RNA, 49 nt
Filed under: Limnonectes blythii (giant mountain frog)
Lineage: Eukaryota; Metazoa; Chordata; Amphibia; Anura; Dicroglossidae
Description: partial tRNA-Val
Source: RNAcentral